GGGGAGGCCGGAUCCUGGGCUGUGUCCCGGCGCCCUGUGCUCCGGGGCCUGCGCUGUUGGAUUCGCGCUCCCGCCCCGCAGCCCCCU
Molecule: microRNA precursor, 87 nt
Filed under: Canis lupus familiaris (dog)
Lineage: Eukaryota; Metazoa; Chordata; Mammalia; Carnivora; Canidae
Also listed under: 2 other names
Description: mir-8799 microRNA precursor family
Rfam family: mir-8799 microRNA precursor family
Source: Rfam by way of RNAcentral